ACGACCUCAAAUCAGAUAGGA
RNAcentral lists this ribosomal RNA (21 nucleotides) under Phyllozyma dimennae. Its description in RNAcentral is "Phyllozyma dimmennae partial 26S rRNA". The record is from RNAcentral. Lineage: Eukaryota; Fungi; Basidiomycota; Spiculogloeomycetes; Spiculogloeales; Spiculogloeaceae.